This 497-nucleotide ribosomal RNA is filed under the name uncultured bacterium. RNAcentral's name for it is "partial 16S ribosomal RNA". It matches the Rfam family "Bacterial small subunit ribosomal RNA", at positions 28 to 507 of the family's 1533-position model. The record is from RNAcentral.
GAUGAACGCUGGCGGCGUGCCUAAUACAUGCAAGUCGAACGGACAGACGAUGAGCUUGUGCCUUUCACGUUAGCGGCGGACGGGUGAGUAACACGUGUAUAACCUACUUAUAAUUCUGGUAAAAUUACGGAAAACCGGAUCUAAUACCGUAUAAUAUAUUGAACCGCAUGGUUCAAUAGAGAAUUUCGGCUUUUCUGUCUGUUAUAGCUGCUUCCGCGCUGGAUUAGCUAGUUGGUAAGGUAACGGCUUACCAAGGCUACGAUGCGUAGCCGAACUGAGAGGGUGAUAGGCCACACGGGAACUGAGACACGGUCAAGACUCCUACGGGAGGGAGCAGUAGGGAAUGUUCGGCAAUAGGCGAGAGCAUGACGGAGCAACGCCGCGUGAGUGAUGAAGGUCUUCGGAUCGUAAAGCCCUGUUAUUAGGGAAGAACAGAUGUGGAAUUAAAUGUGGCCGUAUUGACGGUACCGAAUAAAAAAGCCACGGCUAACUACGUG